This 2036-nucleotide long non-coding RNA is filed under the name Felis catus (domestic cat). RNAcentral describes it as "lncRNA (ENSFCAG00000044998.2)". Lineage: Eukaryota; Metazoa; Chordata; Mammalia; Carnivora; Felidae. The record is from RNAcentral.
CUUCUUACUUCAUGCUCUACUCUGCCGGUAUUUUUAUUUAGUGCUGCUUCUACUUCUCCAGAGGAUGGUGCUAGGGAAGAACAUACUGAAUCCCUUAGUUCAUGAAAUAUGUUUUCUCAUGUUAGUCCUGUUAUUGUCAUCAUUAUUUCUGGAUUAAAUAACUGAAUCAUUUAAGUCCAACAAACUUUUGAAUCAGGAGACAGAGGAGAUUGAUAUGUACUACACCGACAUUUCUAUUCUACUUUCCUUUUAAUUUCAGUCUUCAGUCAUGAUUCAGACUCUUGUGUUCCUCGGUAUAUGUGUGCACAAUGGGGCCAAUUUAGUCUUACAGGAUUAAUUUUGUUUAGACACAGAGUAGGAUUUUUUCCUUUGAAUUUAACACUGUAUCUAUACAUUAGCAAGAUGAAAACGUUUUCCAUGAACGUUCCAGAACGUAAUGAUGCAUUUUGUGUAUUUUCAUUUAAUUUAUAAUUAUCGUUCUACACAUUAAGUAAUUAUGUGGCCUUCCAAAGUUUUAAGACUGCCCGUCUCGUGUCGUCUUACACGCGUCUUUGAGAUGAAAUCACCGGAAAUAGCAAUUUUGGAUAGGCAAUUUGACUUCCAUUGAAGCAAUCUCCCGGCGCUGUCCUCCCUCUCGGGCCGCCAUAUUCUUCCUCCCACGCCACUUCCCUCUCACCUGACGCCCAGAUGGUAGCGGGGCUCGCCGGACUAGGGGCAGGGGGGCUGCGCCGCGGUGCUCACCGGGAUGAGGGGCCGAGCGAGCUGCAGGAGGGCAGCCGCAGCAGGGUUCCGGCUGGCUCCGGCGUCCACAUGGACCUACACAAAAGCAGUCAGAAGGAACUCAACUGUGAAAUGACACCAGAACCCCUGCUGCAGGAGAGUCUCUGUUUCCUGAAGUUCGCUUGGCUGACUUCACUGGGCCAUUAUCCCUGAAGUGUUUGCAGAGGCCAACGGCUCCUAAGGAGUUUAGCAUAUCCUGGCAUGGAAUCAGUACCUUCAAAAUGGUUCAGAAUGUACAGAUCUCAACACCGGAUGAAGGAUAACAUUACACCAGUAUUAUGCUGUAGCAUGAAGAUGGGAAGUGAGAAUGUCAUUUUCCAGUACUGUCUGCCAUCAGCCAACCUAGAGUUUGAAGGAGCCCAGAGUAGAUGGAGCCUUGAAUCCCCAGGGAGGUUCUCUCUGCACCUUUGCUUAUCAGCACAUGGAGCUCUAAAAUGGCUGCUCCCUAGGCUCCUGAAAGGCCCAGCAACCAAGUUCUAUCCCACCAGAUGGGCUUCUAAUGUCUUUUGCAUGAGGAAGAAAGAAAAGUGAAUGGGGGAGUACAUGAUGCUUCUGUGAGAGUAAAAAAACUAACAAGCCACCACCACCACCAAAGUUAUGUCUAAUAUUUCUCUUGAAAUCUAGUGACACAAUUUUUUCACGUUAUUCUUGGAUGGAAGAACUCUUCUUCUUUUGCCUUUCAGUCUAGGUAUUUGUUUAAAUUAAUUAUUAUGCAGUGCUUAAUUAGUUGACUGACUCCAGUGAUCAAGUUUGCCUUCGUAACAUUUAACAAUUGACAUUUAUAAUCUAAAUGUAAGCUAAAGUUAAGCUUUAACUCAACAUACCCCAUAAUCCAAAAUAGAAUAUUUUGGUUAGAAAUUUGGAUUUUCAAAAUCAAAGUUUAAAAUAUUUCCAUCGCACCUACUGUGAAUUUAACUUUAAUCUUAGUCAUUUGAACAACCGGAAUUUUAAGGAAUUUGAUGGAUUUUUUAACCAAAUUUUUCUUGGACGGUUUAUUUCUUUUAUUUUGUAAGUCAGGUUUAUUGAAGUAUAACUUAUGAACUACAAAAUUCACCCUUUUUGUAUACAGUUUUGUGGGUUUUGACAAACAUACUUGGUUUGUGGAGUUGUCUUAUUCCCAUCCUUUUUCCUCCUACCUAUUACCCUUCCUUACCCUACCCAACACUUUUGAGAAUAUUUGAAGUAAAUGGAUAGGUGUUCUUACAAAUUUCAUAGCAUUAUACUCAAUAUGAAAAUAAAAUGUUCCUUGAUAGACA